UACAGAGACUGCAAGCGUUAUUCGGAUUCACUGGGCGUAAAGGGUGCGCAGGCGGCCAAGUGUGUGAGGCGUGAAAGCCCGGGGCUUAACCCCGGAAUUGCACCUCAAACUACAUGGCUAGAGCAUUGGAGAGGGUAGCAGAAUUCAUGGUGUAGCAGUGAAAUGCGUAGAUAUCAUGAGGAAUACCAGAGGCGAAGGCGGCUACCUGGACAAUUGCUGACGCUCAGGCACGAAAGCGUGGGGAGCAAAAGGGAUUAGAAACCGAGUAGUCC
This 272-nucleotide ribosomal RNA is filed under the name uncultured prokaryote. RNAcentral describes it as "partial 16S ribosomal RNA". It matches the Rfam family "Bacterial small subunit ribosomal RNA", at positions 524 to 796 of the family's 1533-position model. The record is from RNAcentral.